This 427-nucleotide ribosomal RNA is filed under the name uncultured bacterium. Its description in RNAcentral is "partial 16S ribosomal RNA". It matches the Rfam family "Bacterial small subunit ribosomal RNA", at positions 355 to 774 of the family's 1533-position model. The record is from RNAcentral.
UGGGGAAUAUUGCACAAUGGGCGCAAGCCUGAUGCAGCCAUGCCGCGUGUAUGAAGAAGGCCUUCGGGUUGUAAAGUACUUUCAGCGAGGAGGAAGGCGGUAAGGUUAAUAACCUUAUCGAUUGACGUUACUCGCAGAAGAAGCACCGGCUAACUCCGUGCCAGCAGCCGCGGUAAUACGGAGGGUGCAAGCGUUAAUCGGAAUUACUGGGCGUAAAGCGCACGCAGGCGGUCUGUCAAGUCGGAGGUGAAAUCCCCGGGCUCAACCUGGGAACUGCAUUCGAAACUGGCAGGCUAGAGUCUUGUAGAGGGGGGUAGAAUUCCAGGUGUAGCGGUGAAAUGCGUAGAGAUCUGGAGGAAUACCGGUGGCGAAGGCGGCCCCCUGGACAAAGACUGACGCUCAGGUGCGAAAGCGUGGGGAGCAAACA